GGCCUCGUGGCUCAGCUGGUAAAGUGUGCGCUGUACAAAGGCGGAGGCGGGGUCCAUGUGUCGGUUCGAAUCCCACCGAGGCUA
This 84-nucleotide transfer RNA is filed under the name Echinostoma caproni. It matches the Rfam family "tRNA". Rfam says of the family: Transfer RNA (tRNA) molecules are approximately 80 nucleotides in length. Their secondary structure includes four short double-helical elements and three loops (D, anti-codon, and T loops). Further hydrogen bonds mediate the characteristic L-shaped molecular structure. tRNAs have two regions of fundamental functional importance: the anti-codon, which is responsible for specific mRNA codon recognition, and the 3' end, to which the tRNAs corresponding amino acid is attached (by aminoacyl-tRNA synthetases). tRNAs cope with the degeneracy of the genetic code in two manners: having more than one tRNA (with a specific anti-codon) for a particular amino acid; and 'wobble' base-pairing, i.e. permitting non-standard base-pairing at the 3rd anti-codon position. The record is from Rfam by way of RNAcentral. Lineage: Eukaryota; Metazoa; Platyhelminthes; Trematoda; Plagiorchiida; Echinostomatidae.